GCAAGAAGAUGGAGCCAUAGCUGCACAUCUUCCAAAUCCAGUAGAUGAUGAAAAUCUGGCAGUAGGUGAUACGAUUACUGAAGAAGUGCCUGAGGCUCCUGUCAAUGUGAAUCCUGGCACUACAGGAGUGAGCGUAUCAAGAGAGAUUCCUGCUAAUCAGCUGCUGCAUGAGCCAGGGACAAGGGUUCAAAAACCAGCUGAUGAUCGCUUGUUCACAUGGG
This 221-nucleotide unclassified non-coding RNA is filed under the name Hevea brasiliensis (rubber tree). The record is from RNAcentral. Lineage: Eukaryota; Viridiplantae; Streptophyta; Magnoliopsida; Malpighiales; Euphorbiaceae.